Molecule: ribosomal RNA, 252 nt
Filed under: uncultured bacterium
Lineage: Bacteria
Description: partial 16S ribosomal RNA
Rfam family: Bacterial small subunit ribosomal RNA
Source: RNAcentral
UACGAAGGGGGCUAGCGUUGCUCGGAAUCACUGGGCGUAAAGCGCACGUAGGCGGCUUCUUAAGUCAGGGGUGAAAUCCUGGAGCUCAACUCCAGAACUGCCUUUGAUACUGAGGAGCUUGAGUCCGGGAGAGGUGAGUGGAACUGCGAGUGUAGAGGUGAAAUUCGUAGAUAUUCGCAAGAACACCAGUGGCGAAGGCGGCUCACUGGCCCGGUACUGACGCUGAGGUGCGAAAGCGUGGGGAGCAACAGG